RNAcentral lists this ribosomal RNA (486 nucleotides) under uncultured bacterium. Its description in RNAcentral is "partial 16S ribosomal RNA". It matches the Rfam family "Bacterial small subunit ribosomal RNA", at positions 29 to 507 of the family's 1533-position model. The record is from RNAcentral.
AACGAACGCUGGCGGCGCGUCUUACCCAUGCAAGUCGAGCGGCAGGCAGCAAUGCCGAGAGCGGCGGACUGGUGAGUAACACGUGGAUAACGUACCCCGAUGUCCGGGACAGCCUGUAGAAAUAGAGGGUAAUACCGGAUAGAUCACUGUUUACGUGAGGUAGACAGCGGGACAGGAGCUUCGGCUCCGCGACGGGAUCGGUCUGCGGCCCAUCAGCUGGACGGCGGGGUAAAGGCCCGCCGUGGCGAGGACGGGUAUCCGGCCUGAGAGGGCGGACGGACACAUUGGGACUGAGAUACGGCCCAGACUCCUACGGGAGGCAGCAGGUAAGAAUAUUCCGCAAUGGGGGGAACCCUGACGGAGCGACGCCGCGUGAACGAAGAAGGCCGGAAGGUUGUAAAGUUCUUUUCUGUCCGAGGAAUAAGUUUCGGAGGAAAUGCCGGGACGGUGACGGUAGGGCAGGAAUAAGCACCGGCUAAUUACGUG